GUUGAACGCUGGCGGCAGGCCUAACACAUGCAAGUCGAGCGGUAGCACAGAGAGCUUGCUCUCGGGUGACGAGCGGCGGACGGGUGAGUAAUGUCUGGGAAACUGCCUGACGGAGGGGGAUAACUACUGGAAACGGUAGCUAAUACCGCAUAAUGUCGCAAGACCAAAGUGGGGGACCUUCGGGCCUCAUGCCAUCAGAUGUGCCCAGAUGGGAUUAGCUAGUAGGUGGGGUAACGGCUCACCUAGGCGACGAUCCCUAGCUGAUCUGAGAGGAUGACCAGCCACACUGGAACUGAGACACGGUCCAGACUCCUACGGGAGGCAGCAGUGGGGAAUAUUGCACAAUGGGCGCAAGCCUGAUGCAGCCAUGCCGCGUGUGUGAAGAAGGCCUUCGGGUUGUAAAGCACUUUCAGCGGGGAGGAAGGCGUUAAGGUUAAUAGCCUUGGCGAUUGACGUUACCCGCAGAAGAAGCACCGGCUAACUCCGUGCCAGCCGCCGCAGUAA
Molecule: ribosomal RNA, 504 nt
Filed under: uncultured bacterium
Lineage: Bacteria
Description: partial 16S ribosomal RNA
Rfam family: Bacterial small subunit ribosomal RNA
Source: RNAcentral